RNAcentral lists this ribosomal RNA (295 nucleotides) under uncultured bacterium. Its description in RNAcentral is "partial 16S ribosomal RNA". It matches the Rfam family "Bacterial small subunit ribosomal RNA", at positions 336 to 646 of the family's 1533-position model. The record is from RNAcentral.
UUCCUACGGGGGGCAGCAGUGGGGGAUAUUGCACAAUGGGGGAAACCCUGAUGCAGCGACGCCGCGUGGGCGAAGAAGUAUUUCGGUAUGUAAAGCCCUAUCAGCAGGGAAGAAGAAAUGACGGUACCUGAGUAAGAAGCACCGGCUAAAUACGUGCCAGCAGCCGCGGUAAUACGUAUGGUGCAAGCGUUAUCCGGAUUUACUGGGUGUAAAGGGAGCGUAGACGGAGAAGCAAGUCUGAAGUGAAAGCCCGUGGCUUAACCACGGGACUGCUUUGGAAACUGUUUGACUAGAG